ACGGGAGGCAGCAGUGGGGGAUAUUGCACAAUGGGCGAAAGCCUGAUGCAGUAACGCCGCGUGAGGGAAGACGGUUUUCGGAUUGUAAACCUCUGUCCCUGGUGAAGAUAAUGACGGUAGCCAAGGAGGAAGCCACGGCUAACUACGUGCCAGCAGCCGCGGUAAUACGUAGGUGGCAAGCGUUGUCCGGAAUUACUGGGUGUAAAGGGAGCGCAGGCGGGUAGACAAGUUGGAUGUGAAAUACCGCAGCUUAACUGCGGAGCUGCAUCCAAAACUGUAUAUCUUGAGUGGAGUAGAGGCAGGCGGAAUUCCGAGUGUAGCGGUGAAAUGCGUAGAUAUUCGGAGGAACACCAGUGGCGAAGGCGGCCUGCUGGGCUCUAACUGACGCUGAGGCUCGAAAGGGUGGGGAGCAAACAGGAUUAGAUACCCUGGUA
This 434-nucleotide ribosomal RNA is filed under the name uncultured Oscillospiraceae bacterium. RNAcentral describes it as "bacterial SSU rRNA". It matches the Rfam family "Bacterial small subunit ribosomal RNA", at positions 341 to 792 of the family's 1533-position model. The record is from RNAcentral. Lineage: Bacteria; Bacillati; Bacillota; Clostridia; Eubacteriales; Oscillospiraceae.